GACGAACGCUGGCGGCGUGCUUAACACAUGCAAGUCGAACGGAAAGGCCCUGCUUUUGUGGGGUGCUCGAGUGGCGAACGGGUGAGUAACACGUGAGUAACCUGCCCUUGACUUUGGGAUAACUUCAGGAAACUGGGGCGAAUACCGGAUAGGAGCCCCUGCUGCAUGGGGGGGGUUGGAAAGUUUCGGCGGUUGGGGAUGGACUCGCGGCUUAUCAGCUUGUUGGUGGGGUAGUGGCUUACCAAGGCUUUGACGGGUAGCCGGCCUGAGAGGGUGACCGGCCACAUUGGGACUGAGAUACGGCCCAGAGUCCUACGGGAGGCAGGAGUGGGGAAUAUUGCACAAUGGGCGGAAGCCUGAUGCAGCAACGCCGCGUGCGGGAUGACGGCCUUCGGGUUGUAAACCGCUUUCGCCUGUGACGAAGCGUGAGUGACGGUAAUGGGUAAAGAAGCACCGGCUAACUACGU
Molecule: ribosomal RNA, 467 nt
Filed under: uncultured bacterium
Lineage: Bacteria
Description: partial 16S ribosomal RNA
Rfam family: Bacterial small subunit ribosomal RNA
Source: RNAcentral